This 636-nucleotide long non-coding RNA is filed under the name Mus musculus (house mouse). Its description in RNAcentral is "predicted gene 13266, transcript variant 4 (Gm13266)". The record is from RNAcentral. Lineage: Eukaryota; Metazoa; Chordata; Mammalia; Rodentia; Muridae.
AGUCACAAUUCCUCUGAGACCCUGAGAUCCUGGUGUGACCAAGCUUCUGGGAUGCUGGGAUCCUGGAAUCCUAAGAUCCUGGGCAUGUUAAAGCGCCUGGAAAUGGUACCUCCUCUGGAGACCAAGGGGCUGUCUGCUGUGUUCAAAAUCAAGCUGCAUCUCUAACAGAUGAGUGUUGAUCUCUGUUACACUAAAGUGUAUGUGUGCACAUGAAUGCAGGCACUCAUGGGGACCAAAAGAGGCUCUCCUUCCAGGUACACACUUCUCCUUGGCCACUGGCAGCUACAGAAUCAUAUAUGUUAAAAAUACUUCGUGCCAGCAGAAGAAUCCAGCCUCUGUGACAACCAUAGAAAUGUGCUGUUCUUUAAUCGCUGGCUGACUCAGUUGUGGUGAACACCAGAGGAACAAGCUUUUUGGCUGUUUGAAUUUCAAAGAUCUCACUUUGAUACUACCAAAUGUUGGAUCUGAGAUUGCAGAGAGGAACUCUUUCUGGCUGAUGAGAAUCCUGUUAGGAUGAGGGCCUUCUCUGGACACAGUUGCAGAAAAUGAAUAGUUUCCUGAUGAGGGUCACUCAAGUUCUGAUGUGUGAGGAAUGUUCUUUAAAAUACUAUUAAAGAUAAUCUGUUAGUAUGUUAA